CCUCGGGCGGCUGCAGUGGGGAAUAUUGGACAAUGGGCGAAAGCCUGAUCCAGCCAUGCCGCGUGUGUGAAGAAGGCCUUCGGGUUGUAAAGCACUUUCAGUGGGGAAGAAAGCCUUGGGGCUAAUACCCUCGAGGAAGGACAUCACCCACAGAAGAAGCACCGGCUAACUCCGUGCCAGCAGCCGCGGUAAUACGGAGGGUGCGAGCGUUAAUCGGAAUUACUGGGCGUAAAGCGCGCGUAGGCGGUCUGAUAAGCCGGUUGUGAAAGCCCCGGGCUCAACCUGGGAACGGCAUCCGGAACUGUCAGGCUAGAGUGCAGGAGAGGAAGGUAGAAUUCCCGGUGUAGCGGUGAAAUGCGUAGAGAUCGGGAGGAAUACCAGUGGCGAAGGCGGCCUUCUGGACUGACACUGACGCUGAGGUGCGAAAGCGUGGGUAGCAAACAGGAUUAGAUACCCCUGUAGUC
Molecule: ribosomal RNA, 464 nt
Filed under: Vreelandella stevensii
Lineage: Bacteria; Pseudomonadati; Pseudomonadota; Gammaproteobacteria; Oceanospirillales; Halomonadaceae
Description: partial 16S ribosomal RNA
Rfam family: Bacterial small subunit ribosomal RNA
Source: RNAcentral